AUGUCGGGCCGGGCCGGGCUAAACAAAACCCGUUGCAAAAAACCUGGGCCUGAGCCCGGCCCGGCCCAGCCGUCAGGCCUAGAUUUCAGGCCCAAGCCCGGCCCAUCAGUCAAAAAGCCCGACGGGCCUCGGGCCACGGGCCGGGCCUCUUUGUUAAAUGGCAAAUAUGGCAGGCCUGAGCCCGGCCCGGCCUGGCCAUCGGGCCUAAAAAUCAGGCCAAAGCCCGGCCCAUGGGCAAGGUCGGGCCGGGCCGGGUCGGGCUUUUUUAGAUCGGGCCGGGCCGGGUUUCCCAUGGCCAGAUCCCGAGCUCCCCUCGCGCCCCGCCCCUCCCCGGCCCCCAUGCGGAUCCGCAGGUCCGCCUCCCGCCUGCUUGGCUCCGCCGUCUCGGGCUCCUGCACGGAGCCGCCCCGAAUCGAGCCGCCCCCGCCCCCGCCGCCAGCCCCAGCCCCAGCCCACGAAUCCGGCGCCGGGUUCGUGGGGCCGAAGACUUCCUCCGGCGGGGAGCCCUGCUGCGAGCUCAGCCGGUCGCCAUGGGACCUCAUGGCGCAGCUCGACCUCUCGGAUCCCCAGGUGGAGAAGCUCUUCGUGGAGACUUGCUUCAUGAGUGUUUCCUGGCGAGGUAGCUGGCUCUUCCCAUCAAGCAUUACCAUGCCUACUGGCUCCAUCAAGGAGGAGGAAGACUUGACCGUAGAUAUGGUUGACGGGGUCAUCUUGAAACUGCACAAAGCUGUGGAAAAGAUGGAGAGGAAGCCGAAGCCAAAUAAGGGGUUCAAAGUGCAGAAAGGAGUGUGGAGGUGCCGGAAGAAUGACGGCAAGAGGUGGUGCUGCCAGCGGCCCGCGAGUGAGCCCAACUCCUACUGCCCGUACCACUUGGACCAGAAGCCCCCCGUCAGCGACAAGCCACGUAGAAAGAGGCCCGACAUCGACCUGGGCGAGGGGUUCUACUACUAUGCGGGGUUCGGCCCCGGCACCAAGAAGCGCCGCACGUCAUGCAGCGACAGCGUGCCAGAACCUAUUCUGCCUGCUGAAUCUCUGAAAGAGGAGGCACCAUCUGAAAUGCAACUUAAUUUUAGUGCUUGUCAGGUACAAGUGAAUGAAUCAGACCAUCAAUCAGUGCUCCCGCCAUCAGCACACGUCGUCGACGAGCCUGGCACCGCUAGGAUGGUGGGCUGUGACAAGGAGAGCAGUGAUGAUGGCAUGCAGGAACUUCCACUGCCUGCUAAACAACCAAAAGAGGAGGCACCGUCCGAAAUGCAACUUAAUUUUAGUGCAGGUCAGGAACAAGCUGAUGACUCAAACCAUCAAGAAGCAGCGGCAUCAGUACGUGUAGUCAACAAGCCUACGGGCAACGACGGCACCACUGGGAUCGCAGGCUGGGACGAGGAGAGCAGCGAUGAGGAAGCGCUUGGCUGCAAUGGCAAACAACCCUGCGGCACCAAGAGGAAGGGCCCGUUCAAGAAGAGGUGGAGGAAGCCUGUGAAAGCCCGGUCGCUCAAGUCACUGAUGAUGUCGUAG
Molecule: ribosomal RNA, 1515 nt
Filed under: Triticum aestivum (bread wheat)
Lineage: Eukaryota; Viridiplantae; Streptophyta; Magnoliopsida; Poales; Poaceae
Description: partial small subunit ribosomal RNA
Source: RNAcentral